Long non-coding RNA from Onychomys torridus (southern grasshopper mouse), 1931 nucleotides. RefSeq lists it as uncharacterized. NCBI's taxonomy places the organism in Eukaryota, Metazoa, Chordata, Mammalia, Rodentia, Cricetidae. The transcript has 10 exons. The record is from RefSeq and is a predicted model, not a curated record.
UCUCUUGCCUCUGUCGUCUCUCUCGCUGGCUUUUUAAAAAUGAGGAACCGUUCCAUGAACAUUUUGCACACAGCACAGAAUUGCUUCUAAAGUCAGCCCGGCGCGGUUGCAAUAGACAGCAAAAAGGUAAACCGUUUGCCUGAAAUCAGCACGCCAGCUCCACCACCCCGCCCGAUGAUGUGAAGAAGCAGGAAGAGUGAGAAAUAUCCAUUCCAGAAGAGCCAGCUGCCAACUGUAGUGGUUUGAGAAGACAGGCCCAGUUUCUCCUGUGAUCAGAAUGCCUAUGUGUAUGAUUUUAAGCCAGAUCACUCCAAAUACCACUGGUAGACCAAUAAAUUGGAAAUAACUACAGGUUCUAUAGCAGAAUCAAGAAGGUGUGAACACCUACCUGUGGGCUGAGGAUUGGGAGACAUUGUUUCAGGUUCCUGCUGACGCUAGAGUUCUGGAGAUAGACAGCCAUUCAAGGAAAUGAAGGCCAUAGGAAGACUCACUUAAAAAUACAUGCUUGGAAGAAAACUGUUGAAAGUGUCAUCUACCACAUGGGUGUCUCUGUGCCAUCCUUCCCUUCUGUAAACACCAACUAAAGCUGCGACCCUGGGAGUUCCUGAGUACCCCUGACGAACUCACCUGCUGCCCGCUAUGGGAGGAGCUUUUGUGUGGAAGCAGAGGCCACAGGUACCAUAUAUGUUCUUCCUCUGUCUCAUCUUCCCACCAGGAUGUUCUCUGUCGUCGAAAGCCCAAAGAUCACAUCAUGAUGGACAGAUGCCACUGUCACUUCCUUCAUGGUGAUGGACCUAAAGGAGCCCUGUGUCACCCAUGUCUACCUGGAAGAGCUUCUAAUCAGAAUUUUGGCAUCAAUGAGCACGGAGGCUUGGCUUCUUCUAGAACAAUGCCCGCGUAGACUUUAUGUGAAUGUCCAGGCCUCACAUUAGCAGAGCAACGGUGUUCAAUGGAGGAAAGAAGCCGUUUGCAUGAUUUGCGCAAGUCAGAAGGUUUCCAUUUCUUCAUGGUCUAGCUUUCCUCCUUUUCCAGACAAUAAAUGCGACACUGAAGACCAAAGUACUUUUGCUUUCUCCUCUUCCUCCGUCAUCUUCCCACAAACCAGGCAUUAGUGAAGGCUCUUGAAAUGCUGCACAAAGCAGCUGCUUCUCCAGAUCAUCCCUUCGGAGCUCAGGUUCCAUUUCUCCUAGGACUGGUCCUGCUUGCUGGACCUUCUCGCUGUUGACUAACAGUGGACUCAACUGACUUCCGUGGGGAUGAUGGCACGGGAGGCCAGGAGGCUCUUCCCUUCUCUGACUUCAUUCUGUUCAUUCUGCCAGAACUGAUAAGGGGCGUGACGCCAUUGACAGGUGCCGCAUAGGCUUGUGGGAGUGUAUCGCUCCAGCACACCCUUUGGAGAUGGUGCAGAAGGAACAGACUCUCCUCCACGUAGAAGAUGGAGAAAAAUUGAUGGUCUGGUUUCUGUGUGUCCUUCAGUCUCCAUUCUUUAUCAGCUGCUUGGCCACCAUUAUGCUCCUGAUGCAGCUGCUAUCUGCAGACCUCCUGGACAGCCCAAGGAAGGGAGUAGGAGCUCCUGCUGUAGUUGGGUGGAACAGCGACCAGAAGGAUUGAAGGUGGCCAAAAAUAACAGUGCCUUCCAGAUGAGGUGACCUCAGAGCCAAGAGCAUCAUGGGGUAGAGUAUCUUGUUCCUAGUUUUAUGACCUAAAAAGUACACAGAAGAUUCAAAGAUACUACAGAAAGAAGGAAUAAAGUCUGCAGAGAACAAGGAAAUGCAAUUAGUUACCAUUUUUUAAAAAAUUGAGUUCCUUUGUGCACACUCAUACACAAGAAAACAUAGGCCUUUAAUACAAGUAUAAAGAGAGACCCAGAUAGGUAGACAGAUAGAACAAAAUACAAUAGAAGACCAAAAAGGAGAAACAGAUACAGAUAA